GCUUAACACAUGCAAGUCGAGGGGCAGCAUGGUCUUAGCUUGCUAAGGCUGAUGGCGACCGGCGCACGGGUGAGUAACACGUAUCCAACCUGCCGUCUACUCUUGGCCAGCCUUCUGAAAGGAAGAUUAAUCCAGGAUGGGAUCAUGAGUUCACAUGUCCGCAUGAUUAAAGGUAUUUUCCGGUAGACGAUGGGGAUGCGUUCCAUUAGAUAGUAGGCGGGGUAACGGCCCACCUAGUCAACGAUGGAUAGGGGUUCUGAGAGGAAGGUCCCCCACAUUGGAACUGAGACACGGUCCAAACUCCUACGGGAGGCAGCAGUGAGGAAUAUUGGUCAAUGGGCGAUGGCCUGAACCAGCCAAGUAGCGUGAAGGAUGACUGCCCUAUGGGUUGUAAACUUCUUUUAUAAAGGAAUAAAGUCGGGUAUGCAUACCCGUUUGCAUGUACUUUAUGAAUAAGGAUCGGCUAACUCCGUGCCAGCAGCCGCGGUAAUACGGAGGAUCCGAGCGUUAUCCGGAUUUAUUGGGUUUAAAGGGAGCGUAGAUGGAUGUUUAAGUCAGUUGUGAAAGUUUGCGGCUCAACCGUAAAAUUGCAGUUGAUACUGGAUGUCUUGAGUGCAGUUGAGGCAGGCGGAAUUCGUGGUGUAGCGGUGAAAUGCUUAGAUAUCACGAAGAACUCCGAUUGCGAAGGC
This 689-nucleotide ribosomal RNA is filed under the name uncultured Bacteroidales bacterium. RNAcentral's name for it is "bacterial SSU rRNA". It matches the Rfam family "Bacterial small subunit ribosomal RNA", at positions 46 to 722 of the family's 1533-position model. Lineage: Bacteria; Pseudomonadati; Bacteroidota; Bacteroidia; Bacteroidales. The record is from RNAcentral.